ACCUGGCUCACACCGGUUUAAACUCAGAUCAUGUAAAAUUUUAAAGGUCGAACAGACCCAACCUACUAGCUACUGCACCAGUAAUUAAUUUUAAUCCAACAUCGAGGUCGCAAUCUUCUCUUUCGAUAAGAACUCUAAGAAAAAUUACGCUGUUAUCCCUAAGGUAAUUUAAUCUUUUAAUCCAAACAUCAGGAUCAUAAACCUAUACAUUAAUAUGUAAAUAUAGAAAAGUUAAAUAAAUUUUCCCAUCACCCCAACAAAAUAUAUAAAACUCUAUAGGGUCUUCUCGUCUUCUAUAUAAAUCUAAGCUUUUUCACUUAAAAAUAAAAUUUUAAUUAAUUCAUCCAGAGACAGCUACUUUUUCAUCAAACCUUUCAUUCAAGCUUUCAAUUAAAAAACUAGUGAUUAUGCUACCUUUGCACAGUCAAAAUACCGCGGCCAUUCAAUAAUAUCAGUGGGCAGGUCAGACCUGAAAUAAUACUCAACAAGCC
RNAcentral lists this ribosomal RNA (491 nucleotides) under Trigonopterus batukarensis. Its description in RNAcentral is "partial 16S ribosomal RNA". The record is from RNAcentral. Lineage: Eukaryota; Metazoa; Arthropoda; Insecta; Coleoptera; Curculionidae.